UCAAAACCAUCAUGAAAAUGCCUUUAUUUUAUCACAAAGAUCGCUUUUCUACUUAAAAAAUUCGCAUAUUUUCUUCCCCACACAGAUAUACACAGAUCACGGUUUGAUGUUGUUAUUAUUGAUUUAACAGCUAUAUUCUUCGUAAAUCCCAAAGAAAUUCUUUGGGAUUUAAGAUGAUGCACCAUUCGAGUAAAACACCCAACACUAAUACCUGCUUACAUUUUAAUAUUUUUUCUCAAAUACAAAAGCUCCUGUACUGGUUUAUUGUUAUUUUUUACAGAGAAUGUUUCUCUGAAGAGCAUUAUUUGAUUUGUCAGAAUGGUCUGUUUGUGCUCGAAGCACUGAUGGGUACCGAUUGGACUGCAAAUGUCAAUGCUCGAUCAUGUGUUUUUUAUACACUUCCUCAAAAGGCUAAUGAAAGAAAACCGUAAUUGUCCGUGAACUGGGCCUGCCAGGGAAUUGAACAGGCGACUUGUUUUAGGGUUUUGUGCCAUUGGACAUGAGCUGUGAACAGGGUGGAUGGGUUUUAACAUUGGUUUAUCAUGUGGGUCAAAGUUGAAACGAGUAACAGGGGCUUUGAGAUGAAGAGGAGCAUUGCUGAUUGAUGUUGGUGUGCAAUAAAUGGGGUUUGUGUAAGGAUUAUUGUCCAGUUUAGGGUUGGUUUGGCUAAAUUCUGGUCAAUUAUUUGCUGCUAAAGUUCCCUUUCACAUGAGAAACACAGAGGUUUAAGGCCUAUGGAUCCUCUACAUGUUUUGUUUGCUGACAUUUAUCAAUCAAUUCAUGAAAUUGUGACACUGAAUGGAAAGAUUGGGGCAGAUCAUUCAAAUUGCCAAUGUCUGGUUGAACAAUUGAAGCUUUUGAAGCCUUUGCUGGAUGAUGUUAAGGACUCAAAGACAGCUUUGACGGGAUCAGUCGUCAGGGUAUUUGAAGAACUAUGUGCUGCUUUGAAGAAGGCUCGGGAACUUAUAGAGAGAUGUAGUGCAAAAGGAAGUAAAGUUUAUAGGGUACUUCGCAGCCAGCAGUAUAUCGCCAAAUUUCGAAAUGUUUCUUUGGAUAUCUAUCGAGUCCUGAAUUCAUUGCCUCUCUCUUCUCUACAUAUUCCAGACCAGAUACAGCUUCAGGUUGAAAUUUGUGCUGAGGAAUUGCGAAGGCUAAGAUAUACAUGUGAAUCUUUAGAUGAGCAAACUUUGGAAGAGGUUGAGUCUGUUCUGAGAGAUCACAGAGAGGGUCUUAAGAUAAGUUGUGAGAAACUACAAUGGAUUGCAGAUAGAUUCAAUUUGAUAUCAAAUCAAGAGGUAUUGAAGGAAGCAUCUGCUUUGGAGAAAGAAAAGGAGUAUGUUCGCCUUGAAAAUGACAAGCAAGAAGAAGAAUACAUUAAUGAUGUUAUUGGUGUUAUCACACAAAUAUGUGAUUACCUAGUUGAAGUCAAGCAAUGCCAAACAGAAGGAGUAGUGCCAAUUCCUGCAGAUUUUCGGUGCCCUCUUUCACUAGAACUGAUGUCAGAUCCAGUAAUUGUAGCUUCUGGGCAAACAUAUGAGCGAGCUUAUAUUCAGCAAUGGCUUGAUCAGGGCAUGACAACAUGCCCUAAAACACGUCAGACCCUUAGUCAUACUAAUCUGAUUCCCAACUACACUGUAAAGGCAUUGAUUGCAAAUUGGUGUGAGUCAAAUAAUGUGCCCUUACCUGAACCAGCCAAGCUUCCAACAUGCACUAUGCUUCAAAGCCAAACCUUUCAAAUGGCUACUAAAAAGAAGGAAUUGGAUGAUAUACAUUUUUCUUCAACUAGAGAUGAAAAUGCAGCUGGAAACUUGAGAAUUUCAAAUUCACAGCCUACAUUGAGGAAUUUUACAUCUUCUAUGGAAGACCGUGUUUCUCAAAAAGAAAACAUGGGGCUUGUUUCAAGCAGUGAAAACCAAGAAGGCUUGAGCACAGUAAGUGGACCACUGAGUGACACUGAGCAAGAAUCACCUUCAAUGAAAGGGACUCUCAAUGGUAAUCAUGGCUGUGAACAAUUGCCUGAGCAAAGCCGAAAGGCAUCCAUUUCGAGUGUUACUUCAAGUCUGGAUGAUAGGCAGGAGCUGGCAGUUGGAGGUACUAAUGCUUUGGAGGGUCUAAAAGCAUCAAGUGAUGGUUCCCAGUUUAGCAGUGAUAUUUCAGGAGAGCUAAAAUUGGCAACAUCAGUGAAAGGUCCUCAAAAUAAAGAAAAUAGAGAUACAGAAACUUCAAACAGAAUAUCUGAGAGAUCUGUAUCGAGUGGCUUGCCUUUAUGGAACCGGCGAAUUGAAGAUCGGAGCUCCAUGCCUAGGAUAAUUUCUUCAAUGUCAGAUACAAGGGCUGACAGUCCAAAUAUUGUACUGAAAAUUGAAAAAUUGGUGGAUGAUCUAGAGUCAGAUAUAAUUGAAGUGCAAAGAGUAGCAGCAGCAGAAUUACGUCUCCUUGCUAAGUACAAUAUGGAAAACAGGAUCAUAAUUGCAAAUUGCAGAGCUACUAGGCCUUUGGUUGCACUAUUACAUUGUUCUGAUAUGGAGACCCAAGACAAUGCUGUUACUGCAUUACUGAAUUUAUCCAUUAAUGACAACAAUAAGAUUGAGAUUGUUGCUGCUGGUGCUAUUGAUCCACUGAUAUAUGUACUUAAAACAGGAAGUCCUGAAGCAAGAGAGAAUGCUGCUGCGACAUUAUUUAGUCUUUCAGUUAUGGAAGAAAACAAAACAAUUAUUGGUCAAUCAGGAGCCAUCCCACCUUUGGUGGAUCUGCUUAGGGAUGGUACACCUCGGGGGAAGAAGGAUGCUGCCACUGCUUUGUUUAAUCUGUCUAUUUAUCAUGAGAACAAGGCUCGCAUAGUACGGGCUGGGGCAAUACAAUCUCUUGUCGAAUUGAUGGACCCUGCUGCUGGAAUGGUAGAUAAGGCUGUUGCUGUCUUGGCUAAUCUUUCAACUAUUCCUGAAGGUCGCUUUGCUAUUGGUGAGCAGGGAGGCAUUCCUGCUCUGGUGGAGGUAGUGGAGCUAGGCUCUCAGAGAGGAAAAGAAAAUGCUGCAGCAGCACUUCUGCAACUCUGUACAAAUAGCAAUAGGUUUCGAGCUUUGGUUUUGCAAGAAGGUGCAAUUCCACCGUUGGUUUCUUUGGCACAAUCUGGUACACCACGAGCAAAGGAGAAGGCCCAAGCACUUCUUCGCCAUUUUAGGGAUCAGAGACAUGCAGUUAUAGGAAGGGGUGGUCCUGAUAGACAGCUGGAUCGACAUUUUGAUCGCUUAUAAGGCUUCUGUUCACGUUUGAAGCUUUUGAAUUGUGAUUGCAGCUCUUCCUGCCUUUUGAUGGAACCAUUCAAACAAAACGUUUCUGAGAUGUGGCAACUUUUCCUGCUUGAUAGGGGUUACUCAGAUGCCAAUCUGUGAGAGCCUCAUCUUUUCUUGGGAAUGCAUUGUAAGCUGCCAUCUUGGAUCUGUUAAUGUUAAAGUGCUUCAUAUUUGUGUUAUUCAUAUAUUUGGAGAAAGCUUUUGGUAGGGCUAGCAUUUUCGUAAACUUAAGAUUAUUACAAAGUCAGUUCAUUUGGUUAAAUGUUGUGUCCAGAUUCUGAAGUGGCAUUCAAAUCUUGUCAUUGAUAGAAAUGAUAAACUUGAAUAAGCUGGCACAAGAAUUGUUGAACUUGAGAUGCAAUUAUUUGUACAUGAUAAUAAAAACUCCAUACAUUUUGAAAGAAACAAUACAAUGUGAAUAAUUUUAUGGAGAAUUGUUUACCUGCG
This is an RNA transcript of Cryptomeria japonica (Japanese cedar), 3740 nucleotides long. It is a transcript of the gene named U-box domain-containing protein 4, with no coding region annotated. The record is from RefSeq and is a predicted model, not a curated record. The transcript is spliced from 6 exons. NCBI's taxonomy places the organism in Eukaryota, Viridiplantae, Streptophyta, Pinopsida, Cupressales, Cupressaceae.